UCCUCGUUUUUACGAGGCAGUCUGUCCAGAGUGCUUCCCGCUCUCGCGGGAGUGGCAACAGGACACAAGGGUUGCGCUCGUUGCGGGACUUAACCCAACAUCUCACGACACGAGCUGACGACGGCCAUGCAGCACCUGUGUCCAGGUUCUCUUUCGAGCACUCUCGCAUCUCUGCGGGAUUCCUGGCAUGUCAAGGGUAGGUAAGGUUUUUCGCGUUGCAUCGAAUUAAACCACAUCAUCCACCGCUUGUGCGGGUCCCCGUCAAUUCCUUUGAGUUUUAGCCUUGCGGCCGUACUCCCCAGGCGGGGUGCUUAAUGCGUUAGCGACGGCACGGAAAGGGUUGAUGCCUCCCACACCUAGCACCCAACGUUUACGGCUGGGACUAC
This 386-nucleotide unclassified non-coding RNA is filed under the name uncultured bacterium. RNAcentral's name for it is "contains 16S-23S intergenic spacer region". The record is from RNAcentral.